CCCUUAGAUGUUCUGGGCCGCACGCGCGCUACACUGAUUCAUGCAACGAGUUUUGUCCUUGGCUGAAAGGCCUGGGUAAUCUUUGAACGUGAAUCGUGCUGGGGAUAGAUGAUUGCAAUUAUUCAUCUUCAACGAGGAAUUCCUAGUAAACGCAAGUCAUCAGCUUGCAUUGAUUACGUCCCUGCCCUUUGUACACACCGCCCGUCGCACCUACCGAUUGAAUGGUCCGGUGAAGGCUCCGGAGGCGUCUUUCUCAAUGUUUAUUCGGCGAGAUUGGUGCCAAAGUUGAAUGAACCUUACCAUUUAGAGGAAGGUGAAGUCGUAACA
Molecule: ribosomal RNA, 327 nt
Filed under: uncultured eukaryote
Lineage: Eukaryota
Description: partial 18S ribosomal RNA
Rfam family: Eukaryotic small subunit ribosomal RNA
Source: RNAcentral